Molecule: transfer RNA, 74 nt
Filed under: Candidatus Woesearchaeota archaeon
Lineage: Archaea; Nanobdellati; Candidatus Woesearchaeota
Description: tRNA-His
Rfam family: tRNA
About the family: Transfer RNA (tRNA) molecules are approximately 80 nucleotides in length. Their secondary structure includes four short double-helical elements and three loops (D, anti-codon, and T loops).
Source: RNAcentral
GCGGCCAUGGUGUAGUCUGGUUAGCACAGGAGACUGUGGAUCUCCUAGGGCGGAUUCAAAUUCCGCUGGCCGCC